AGGAGAAUAGUUAAAAAAUAACAAUUUCUUUGCAAGAAAAAAUUACUGAAAUUUAUCAAUUUCUCUUA
RNAcentral lists this transfer RNA (68 nucleotides) under Bambusicaliscelis fanjingensis. RNAcentral describes it as "tRNA-Ala". Lineage: Eukaryota; Metazoa; Arthropoda; Insecta; Hemiptera; Caliscelidae. The record is from RNAcentral.